RNAcentral lists this ribosomal RNA (254 nucleotides) under uncultured bacterium. Its description in RNAcentral is "partial 16S ribosomal RNA". It matches the Rfam family "Bacterial small subunit ribosomal RNA", at positions 524 to 776 of the family's 1533-position model. The record is from RNAcentral.
UACGUAGGUGGCAAGCGUUGUUCGGAAUUAUUGGGCGUAAAGGGCGCGUAGGCGGUUUGUUAAGUCGGUCGUGAAAGCCCGGGGCUCGAACCCCGGAGGGUCGACCGAUACUGGCAGACUAGAGUACAGAAGAGGUAACUGGAAUUCCCGGUGUAGCGGUGAAAUGCGUAGAUAUCUGGAGGAACACCGGUGGCGAAGGCGGCUUCCUGGACCGACACUGACGCUGAGGCGCGAAAGCUAGGGGAGCAAACGGG